AGCAGCCGCAGUAAUUUCAGCUCCAAUAGUGUAUAUUAAAGUUGUUGCAGUUAAAAAGCUCGUAGUUGAAUUUUGGGAUCAGUUGGUCGGUCGUGUCUUGGUACGUACUGGUCAAAUUGAUUCCUACCUUCUGACGAAUCACAAUGUCAUUAAUUUGGUGUCGCAGGAAAUCAGGACUGUUACUUUGAAAAAUUAGAGUGUUUAAAGCAGGCUCGUGCUUGAAUACAUUAGCAUAGAAUAAUGAAAUAAGACGUUUGAUUCUAUUUUGUUAGUUUCUAGGGUCGAUAUAAUGAUUAAUAGGAAUAGUUGGAGGUAUUAGUAUUCAAUUGUCAGAAGUGAAAUUCUUGG
RNAcentral lists this unclassified non-coding RNA (348 nucleotides) under uncultured Glomus. RNAcentral describes it as "bacterial SSU rRNA". It matches the Rfam family "Eukaryotic small subunit ribosomal RNA", at positions 569 to 923 of the family's 1831-position model. The record is from RNAcentral. Lineage: Eukaryota; Fungi; Glomeromycota; Glomeromycetes; Glomerales; Glomeraceae.